This 1598-nucleotide long non-coding RNA is filed under the name Eucalyptus grandis. Its description in RNAcentral is "long non-coding RNA (EGRA_LNC004506)". Lineage: Eukaryota; Viridiplantae; Streptophyta; Magnoliopsida; Myrtales; Myrtaceae. The record is from RNAcentral.
CCUGUUAGAAAGAAGAGCAAUGGAAAAGCAAAUUGAUGGAUCAAGAAGGUUAUUCAUGCAGAAAGAGCUAUUUGUUUGUAAAAUGAAUGAUUUAAAGAACAUAUUUCUUAAUUAUUUUCUUGUCCGUAGAAUUCAGUCGACGACAAAAGCAAUUUUCAUAGAUCAAUAAUUUCAAACGAUAUAAGUGAAAAUGAAAUUCUAGGCAUGCGAGAGUGGAGAAAAAUAGUGUAUGUUUAAUUUAACUUGAUGAUAGAAGAUAAAAGGGAGAAGCGUAAAGGACCUGGAAUUUGGUUCAGCAAUCCAUGUCCAGUAACGCUGGUCAAUGGCCAGCUCCCUUGCUCCGAUCAUAAAGCAUUUCUUUCCACUCUUCUUAUCCAAUGAGGAGAUCAACACGACAGCAUGAUGUCAUAGAUAAUUAGAGAUUUAAUACUAGUAAUUCGAUGUUAAUCGAGGGGGAGGGGGGAGUAUUGCGAAAAAGAAAGUUUGUCUUCAUAGACGUCCUCUAUACUUCAGGACGCACAAACAAGCCGGGACACUUCACAGCCUCACAAGACAGCUAGAGCGGAAUGCAUCCAUAGCAUCGGCUGCAGCAGAAAAGAAAUUUUGCAGGCGUCCAUUGUACUUUGGUCGGUGAAAUUCAGUGACAAAAUCCUAAUAAUGUUUAGUAUAAUCUUGUACAAACCUCGGUUCAAUCUGAGGGUCCUCAAGAUUUGUCAAGAGGCCUUGCUUUCAUACUAGACAGUAUUAUUCAAUCAAAAAAAAAAAGAAAACUACAGGAUUAUUCUACAAUCAGGCUGUUAUCAGUUUAUGCAUUUUGGUCAGUGAAAUUCAGUGAAGAAAUCCUAAUAAUGUUCAGUAUAAUCUUUUGCGAACCUCAGUUUGCUCUGGGGCUCACCAACAUUUUCGACCCACCAAAAAGAAAAACUAAACUUAAACUAAGGCAUAUUUCUACCAUCCAGCUCUUGUCAAUUUAUCUCAAGCACCGAUAAUGUCUACAAAAAUUUACAAUACUUUCGGACCCAAAAAAAAAAAAAAACGAGCAUGCCUGAUCUAAGUUCAUAGCCUCACUCAUCGUUUCCCAUGGUCAAUUACUUCAAUGACCACUUCAUAAUUCAAUCUUCUUAAAAGCCUCCCAAGAAGAGUAAAAUGGCUUUACCUUAGAUAAUCCUGCUCUAUCUAUGCAGAUUCACCACACCCACUCAACUAUGCCAAAAAAAAGUUGCAUUGAAGAUCAAAGCAUCACACUGUAAUCGAGCGCUAACCAUGUUCCGGUCGCAGAGGUGGAAGUAGAGUGACUUCUUGCGCGAUAUCUGAGGGAGGACGACACCAUCGCGGUGGUCGGGCGGCAAGAAUUGGCGCCACACCUCAUCUGAAUCUGCGAUCGAUCUGAAGAAGGUGGAGACAGACGCUACCCGGCAAGCGUCUCGUGGAGUUGUGGCUGUGAGAAAGAUGAUCCGGGAGAUCACGUCGUUGCCCAGAAGCGAGAAGUCCCACAUCCCUUUUCCUCUCCGUUCUCUCGUUUCUUGCCUUGGAUUUCGCUGGCUUUGUAAGGAAGAUCAAAAGAUAAAGCUGUUGAUUGGGUCACGCCAAAGUCAAUG